RNAcentral lists this ribosomal RNA (465 nucleotides) under Vreelandella stevensii. Its description in RNAcentral is "partial 16S ribosomal RNA". It matches the Rfam family "Bacterial small subunit ribosomal RNA", at positions 338 to 795 of the family's 1533-position model. Lineage: Bacteria; Pseudomonadati; Pseudomonadota; Gammaproteobacteria; Oceanospirillales; Halomonadaceae. The record is from RNAcentral.
CCUACGGGGCGCAGCAGUGGGGAAUAUUGGACAAUGGGCGAAAGCCUGAUCCAGCCAUGCCGCGUGUGUGAAGAAGGCCUUCGGGUUGUAAAGCACUUUCAGUGGGGAAGAAAGCCUUGGGGCUAAUACCCUCGAGGAAGGACAUCACCCACAGAAGAAGCACCGGCUAACUCCGUGCCAGCAGCCGCGGUAAUACGGAGGGUGCGAGCGUUAAUCGGAAUUACUGGGCGUAAAGCGCGCGUAGGCGGUCUGAUAAGCCGGUUGGGAAAGCCCCGGGCUCAACCUGGGAACGGCAUCCGGAACUGUCAGGCUAGAGUGCAGGAGAGGAAGGUAGAAUUCCCGGUGUAGCGGUGAAAUGCGUAGAGAUCGGGAGGAAUACCAGUGGCGAAGGCGGCCUUCUGGACUGACACUGACGCUGAGGUGCGAAAGCGUGGGUAGCAAACAGGAUUAGAUACCCCAGUAGUC